GGGGUUAUAGCCCAGCCGGUUAGAGCGCUACGCUCACAUCGUAGAGGUCACAGGUUCGAAUCCUGUUAACCCCACCA
Molecule: transfer RNA, 77 nt
Filed under: Thermoanaerobacterium saccharolyticum JW/SL-YS485
Lineage: Bacteria; Bacillati; Bacillota; Clostridia; Thermoanaerobacterales; Thermoanaerobacteraceae
Description: tRNA-Val (CAC) (tRNA-Val-CAC-1-1)
Rfam family: tRNA
About the family: Transfer RNA (tRNA) molecules are approximately 80 nucleotides in length.
Source: RNAcentral